This 564-nucleotide ribosomal RNA is filed under the name Penicillium sp. B4. RNAcentral's name for it is "eukaryotic LSU rRNA". The stretch from base 176 to 329 matches the Rfam family "5.8S ribosomal RNA". The record is from RNAcentral. Lineage: Eukaryota; Fungi; Ascomycota; Eurotiomycetes; Eurotiales; Aspergillaceae.
CGGAGCGAGGGGCUCUGGGUCAACCUCCCACCCGUGUUUAUCGUACCUUGUUGCUUCGGCGGGCCCGCCUCACGGCCGCCGGGGGGCAUCCGCCCCCGGGCCCGCGCCCGCCGAAGACACACAAACGAACUCUUGUCUGAAGAUUGCAGUCUGAGUACUUGACUAAAUCAGUUAAAACUUUCAACAACGGAUCUCUUGGUUCCGGCAUCGAUGAAGAACGCAGCGAAAUGCGAUAAGUAAUGUGAAUUGCAGAAUUCAGUGAAUCAUCGAGUCUUUGAACGCACAUUGCGCCCCCUGGUAUUCCGGGGGGCAUGCCUGUCCGAGCGUCAUUGCUGCCCUCAAGCACGGCUUGUGUGUUGGGCUCUCGCCCCCCGCUUCCGGGGGGCGGGCCCGAAAGGCAGCGGCGGCACCGCGUCCGGUCCUCGAGCGUAUGGGGCUUCGUCACCCGCUCUGUAGGCCCGGCCGGCGCCCGCCGGCGAACACCAUCAAUCUUAACCAGGUUGACCUCGGAUCAGGUAGGGAUACCCGCUGAACUUAAGCAUAUCAAUAAAGCGGAGGAAUGAG